RNAcentral lists this ribosomal RNA (301 nucleotides) under uncultured bacterium. RNAcentral describes it as "partial 16S ribosomal RNA". It matches the Rfam family "Bacterial small subunit ribosomal RNA", at positions 509 to 807 of the family's 1533-position model. The record is from RNAcentral.
CAGUAGCCGCGGUAAUACAGAGGUCUCAAGCGUUGUUCGGAUUCAUUGGGCGUAAAGCGCGCGUAGGUGGCCAUUUAAGUCCGCUGUGAAAGUCAAAGGCUCAACCUUUGAAAGCCGGUGGAUACUGGAUGGCUAGAGUACGGAAGAGGCGAGUGGAGUUCCUGGUGUAGCGGUGGAAUGCGCAGAUAUCAGGAGGAACACCAAUAGCGAAGGCAGCUCGCUGGGACGUUACUGACACUGAGGCGCGAAAGCGUGGGGAGCGAACAGGAUUAGAUACCCCAGUAGUCCCUGUCUCUUAUAC